This 2754-nucleotide long non-coding RNA is filed under the name Marmota monax (woodchuck). The record is from RNAcentral. Lineage: Eukaryota; Metazoa; Chordata; Mammalia; Rodentia; Sciuridae.
AAGAUUAGUAAAUACCAUGGUGUUUAGAUUAUGGUUUGCAGGAUUUGUCUCAAAUGCUGAGUUUUCUUAUUCCAGCAAUUUCCUACUCAGUCACCUUUCUUUUCUAAAGGUAAGUAAUAUACUAAAUGCUAAUAUUAGCUCUGUACUGCACAGGACGUUGUUAGGACAUGCAAUAGCGGUCAACCAACAAAGAAGUUAAGAGUGACCUCGGAGCCUGCCUUACUUCCUGUGAACUCACCACUAAGGGUGUAAAAUACUCUACUGUUUGCCUGUGAGUAGCCCAAUUUUAGUGUUGAAAUGGCUAUGAGGAAUUGAGUACACUAAAGAUUUGAUGGACCAAAUCAUGGAAUUUAUUUGGGGCCAGAGAAUCAUGUGAACAUCAUGCAUGUUGAUUAUAGAUUCCCCAGGUUAUCCAUCUCUUCUGGCCUCCACUACAGAUUUGUGUGAUAUUUUAGAUCUCAGUGACCUUUGAGGAUGUGGCUGUGAACUUCACCCAGGAGGAAUGGACUUUGCUGGAUCUAUCCCAGAAGAAUCUUUACAGAGAUGUGAUGCUGGAAGUCCUCAGAAACCUGAUUUCUAUAGGUAUUAGUGAUGUUUCUUUAUUUAGUCAAAUAGAGAACCAGUGUCAUUUAUGUAGAAUGUGAAAAGGGAAUCCUUUGAUGAAUUAUUGCAACAUAAAAUGCAUGUAGACUGUGGCAAAGUUUUUCUAGCCAAUAAGUAAUACAUAAUGAUUGUUCUGUGUUGCCAUUUUAGGAAACACAUGGGAAGACAAGAACAUUGAAGUUCAGAUUGAAAAUUCUGGGAGUAGUCUAAGAUAAUUGUACUCACCAGAGGGAGCAAUGUCCUUGAGGAAAUCUUACAAUGUCAUCUGAUUUUUAAAACCAACCAAAGAAAUAUGUACAAUGUUAAAUGUGUUUAUUUUUAUAAAUUUUUUUUACCAUAUAUAUAUAUAUAUAUAUAUAUAUAUAUAUAUAUAUAUAUAUUUGCAUGUAACAUAGAUAGAUAUUCAGUCUUUUCAAAGUAGUCGACAUGAAAAAAAAUACUAUGAAAUUGCAUAUGUGCAUAUCACUGUUUGGAUAAAAGCUAUAGGGAAACUGUGUUGGUAAGGAUUGUUUUCUUUCAAUCUUUAUUUUCAGGCAAUUUGAACAAGUCAGAAAACCUACUGUUUAACUGCAUUGGUGGUAAUAUAAGCCUAUUAAUGAAUAGAAAAUCAUUAAUAAAUCAAGCAUUGAUAAUGUGCUGGUCAUUUUUAUAGAAGUCAUGGUUAAAUUAACCUGACAAAGAAAAAAUUUAAUAGAGUAAAUCCAUGUUACUGCAUUAUGUAUUCAAAAGACUUCGUAUGUCCUUUAUUCUUUCACAGGCAGAUCACAUCUCACUCUGGACAGAAACCCUACAUGCAUGUGGAAUGUGAAGAGAAGCCAUGUGAAUUUAAACAAUAUGAGAAAUCUCUGGUUUCUCUAAGAAGUGCUCAAACACAAAGGUUGAUACAAACUGUAAAUGGACCUUAUAAAAAUACAGCAUGUGGGAAAGUCUUCAGUUGUCCCAAUUCCAUUCAAAUGCAUGAAGAAACCCAUACUGGGCAGAAACCCUAUGAAAGUACACAAUGUGGUGAAGCCUUUUCUUCUUUCACAGAUGUUCAGAGACAACUGAUAGCACCCAGUGGCCAUAAACAUUUUAGGUGUAGAGAAGUGCCAUGAAUAUAUACAUUGUGAGAAAGGCUUCAAAUAUUCCAGAUCUUUUAAAUGCCAUGAAGUAACUCAUACUGAAGAGAAGCCCUAUAAAUGUAAGCAAUGUGGGAAAGCCUUCAGUAAUCCCAGUUCAUGUAAAAGACAUCAAAUAACUCAUACAGAAGAGAAGCACUAUGAAUGUAAACAGUGUGGAAAAGCCUUCUCAAAUUCCUCUUCCCUUCAUAUACAUAAACAAACUCAUGCUGGGGAGAAGUCCUAUGAAUGUAAGCAGUGUGGCAAAGCCUUUACUCGGUCCUCUCACCUUCACUCUCAUGAACAAUCUCACACUAAAGAGAAGCACUAUGAAUGUCAACAAUGUGGAAAAGCCUUUGCUACAUCCAGUGGCCUUCACAAACAUGGAAAAAUUCAUACUGGAGAGAAGCCCUACGAAUGUCCACAAUGUGGAAAAGCCUUCACUAUUCCCUCUUACCUCCAAGUACAUGAACAAACUCAUACUGGAGAGAAGCCCUAUAAAUGUAAGCAGUGUGGCAAAGCCUUCACUCGUUCCUCUUACCUUCGAGUACAUGGAAGAACUCAUACUGGAGAGAAGCCCUAUGAAUGUAAGCAGUGUGGCAAAGCAUUCACUUGCUCUUCUUACCUCCAAGUACAUGAACGAAUUCAUACUGGAGAGAAGCCCUAUAAAUGUAAGCAGUGUGGCAAAGCCUUCACUCACUCCUCUAACCUUCACUCACAUGAACGAACUCAUACUGGAGAGAAGCCCUAUGAAUGUCAACAAUGUGAAAAAGCCUUUGCUACAGCCCAUCAACUUCACAGACAUGGAAGAAUGCAUACUGGGGAGAAGCAAUGUGGAAAAGCCUUUACUACAUCAUGUCAUCUUCACAUACAUGGAAGAACUCAUACUGGAGAAAAGCCUAUAAACAUAAACAACGUGGAAAAGACUUUGCUUCAUCCACUCAGCUUCACUCACAUGAACAAACUCAUACUGGAGAGAAAUCCUACUAAUGAAAACAAUGGGAAAAGUCUUCUGUUAUUACCAUUUCACUCAUAAACAUGUAGUAAGUUUACU